This 504-nucleotide ribosomal RNA is filed under the name uncultured bacterium. RNAcentral describes it as "partial 16S ribosomal RNA". It matches the Rfam family "Bacterial small subunit ribosomal RNA", at positions 29 to 505 of the family's 1533-position model. The record is from RNAcentral.
ACGAACGCUGGCGGCGUGCCUAAUACAUGCAAGUCGAACGCAUUUUCUUUCACCGUAGCUUGCUACACCGAAAGAAAAUGAGUGGCGAACGGGUGAGUAACACGUGGGUAACCUGCCCAUCAGCGGGGGAUAACACUUGGAAACAGGUGCUAAUACCGCAUAAUUCCAUUUACUGCAUGGUAGAUGGAUGAAAGGCGCUUUUGCGUCACUGAUGGAUGGACCCGCGGUGCAUUAGCUAGUUGGUGGGGUAACGGCCUACCAAGGCUGCGAUGCAUAGCCGACCUGAGAGGGUGAUCGGCCACACUGGGACUGAGACACGGCCCAGACUCCUACGGGAGGCAGCAGUAGGGAAUCUUCGGCAAUGGACGCAAGUCUGACCGAGCAACGCCGCGUGAGUGAAGAAGGUUUUCGGAUCGUAAAACUCUGUUGUUAGAAAAGAACAAGGAUGAGAGUGGAAAGUUCAUCCCUUGACGGUAUCUAACCAGAAAGCCACGGCUAACUACG